RNAcentral lists this ribosomal RNA (485 nucleotides) under uncultured bacterium. Its description in RNAcentral is "partial 16S ribosomal RNA". It matches the Rfam family "Bacterial small subunit ribosomal RNA", at positions 28 to 523 of the family's 1533-position model. The record is from RNAcentral.
GACGAACGCUGGCGGCGUGCUUAACACAUGCAAGUCGAACGGUGAAAGCGGAGCUUGCUCCGCUGGAUCAGUGGCGAACGGGUGAGUAACACGUGGGCAACCUGCCCCUCACUUCGGGAUAACUCCGGGAAACCGGGGCUAAUACCGGAUAUGACCUCCUUGGGCAUCCUUGGAGGUGGAAAGUUCUUCGGUGAGGGAUGGGCCCGCGGCCUAUCAGCUUGUUGGUGAGGUAGUGGCUCACCAAGGCGACGACGGGUAGCCGGCCUGAGAGGGCGACCGGCCACACUGGGACUGAGACACGGCCCAGACUCCUACGGGAGGCAGCAGUGGGGAAUAUUGCGCAAUGGGCGAAAGCCUGACGCAGGAACGCCGCGUGCGGGAUGACGGCCUUCGGGUUGUAAACCGCUUUCAGCAGGGAAGAAGCCGCAAGGUGACGGUACCUGCAGAAGAAGCACCGGCUAACUACGUGCCAGCCGCCGCGGUAA